UACGUAGGGUGCGAGCGUUGUCCGGAAUUACUGGGCGUAAAGAGCUCGUAGGUGGUUUGUCGCGUUGUCCGUGAAAACUCACAGCUUAACUGUGGGCGUGCGGGCGAUACGGGCAGACUGGAGUACUGCAGGGGAGACUGGAAUUCCUGGUGUAGCGGUGGAAUGCGCAGAUAUCAGGAGGAACACCGGUGGCGAAGGCGGGUCUCUGGGCAGUAACUGACGCUGAGGAGUGAAAGCGUGGGGAGCGAACAGG
RNAcentral lists this ribosomal RNA (253 nucleotides) under uncultured bacterium. RNAcentral's name for it is "partial 16S ribosomal RNA". It matches the Rfam family "Bacterial small subunit ribosomal RNA", at positions 524 to 776 of the family's 1533-position model. The record is from RNAcentral.